Molecule: long non-coding RNA, 1279 nt
Filed under: Felis catus (domestic cat)
Lineage: Eukaryota; Metazoa; Chordata; Mammalia; Carnivora; Felidae
Description: lncRNA (ENSFCAG00000046977.1)
Source: RNAcentral
AUGCCCUUUUAUUCUAGGAAACAACCAAAACAGCAAAAGGCCGCUGAAGACAAAACCUCUCUGCACACUCCUGCACACGCCGACAGCCUGCUGAAUCCUGGAUUUCUCCACCGUCAGCCACAGGAAGCUUCAUCCUUCAGUAAUUCUCCUCUUCAUCAGUGGGAAGAGGAAACUGGGAGCUCCCUUUGGAAGGAACACGUAUGGACAGAUUAUUUUUCAGAACGGAUGUGUGACUUUGAUGGGACUGGUAGACAGAAGCUGUUUCUUGAAAAGAUUUAGAGCUCUUACUGAAGGCUUUUCCGGUGUGACUAGUCCUUAAUCAACUGUACUGUCUGUGGCCUGACGCAAAUAUUGUAAGACAUAGCAGGAAAACCUUGCCUUCGGCCACAGGUCUUGUUGGUUGAAAGUUAAACUCAAUGCUUGGGGAAAGCUAACACGGUGUAAUUUGGGCUGCGCACUUCAGAUGAUAUUGAUCAAAAGUCAAGAGGACAGUGACAAACUAUUAUAUUAUGAUGCAAACAAUAUUGGUUUAUAUUCUAAAUGAGCGACAUCUACGAAUGUGUGCUUUGAUUUAGAGAUCUUCCAAGGAAUGCCAGAAAGUUCUCUUGACUCCCCUCAAGGUCUCUAGAAGCUAGGAUCUAUAUUUUCUAAAAGCUGUGGCAUAUGAUUUAUUGAAAGAAUCCAUUUGGAGCUCUAGGGUUAUCCUGGUUUGACUUGAUGUGUGACAGCUACAAAAACGAUCCAUUACUAGACAUCGCAUUUUCAAAAUGUGGAUAGAGGUGGUGAAUCAGAACAAGAAUUCAGUCCUACCUUGCAAGGCUAUGAGAAGAGCGCUGUGUACAAAGUAUCAUGGUCCACAGCAGGUGGACCUAUGCGGUGAAUGGCAUAUGAUCAAAGUCAACGUAAUUUACACACUUGGAUAUAUGCCUAAUUUGUAACUGAGAGAGUAAAUUACAUGCUCAUGCAAACUGAGUUUUGAAAUCUGCCUGUGGCAGACAAUUUUUAGGGCAAUGCUGCCUGCACUGGUUGCGAAUGUCCAAGCUGACAGCACCUCUUAAAGACCACCAGCCCUCUCUAUGACCACCUGUCGAGGGUUCGAGGUGUUGUGCGAAAGACGGACACCGAUCCCCAAGCGUCGCUUGAAACUUGAUAAUGAGGGUGAUGUGUGUCGCAUGGCGAAAAUGCAAACACGUUUAGUUAGAGGGCUCUAAAACCAAUCUUUUUUUUUCCGAUUUCUUGAUCAAAUAAUUCGUUUUCAUUAGUUAUUUUGACUACAAAU